AUGGAGGGGCUGCUCCAUUGGGAUUUCUCCCCCGACCUUGCGGUCGAGGCUCAGGUGCGUUCAAAAUUUGGUUCCACGGUCCGUUUCUCUCCUUCUGGCUCUUCGAGAGAGUUCUUCUUGGUGGUUUCCUUCUCCUCGGCUUCUUUUGCCCUCUCCGACGAAUCUGUGGGGAUUGCUCCACAAUGUUGCAUUGGAGGUCGGCCCGAUGGUUUUCGUGUCAAACAUCUUACUGGACGGCAAUACAGAUUCAGUCUCUUCCAAUCGAGUGGGUCAUUUUAUCUAUGGGCUUAG
This 291-nucleotide ribosomal RNA is filed under the name Triticum aestivum (bread wheat). Its description in RNAcentral is "partial small subunit ribosomal RNA". The record is from RNAcentral. Lineage: Eukaryota; Viridiplantae; Streptophyta; Magnoliopsida; Poales; Poaceae.